RNAcentral lists this unclassified non-coding RNA (792 nucleotides) under Hevea brasiliensis (rubber tree). Lineage: Eukaryota; Viridiplantae; Streptophyta; Magnoliopsida; Malpighiales; Euphorbiaceae. The record is from RNAcentral.
AAUGAUAAACAGCAACAGGAGAUACAGGAAAAGAGUUGUUUUGUGUACUUGGGACAUCAAGAAUUCCAUUUUGCCAGUGACCAGAUUGAGUCUCUUCAUUUCUGAAUGUGUACAUUCCAAGGCCCUGCCUUCUACCUUCGUGCCAGGCUCCCUCAUACCGAUGUCCAUUUGCAAAACGAUAGGCGCCAAAGCCAUGCAUCUUGUCUGCAAAAUAUUCUCCAGCAUAUGUGUCGCCAUUUCUGAAAUGGUAGUGGCCAAGCCCAUGCUUGACACCCCACUUGAAUUCCCCAACAUACCGACUCCCGUCUUCACAAGUAUGGACUCCGCAUCCAUGACUCUGGCCAUUAGACCAUUCCCCUGCAUAAACAUCCCCUGUGUAAAAUCUAUACACCCCAAAACCAUGCCUAAGUCCCUGCCUAUACAGCCCUCUAUACCGGCUCCCUCUAGCCCAAGUCUCCACUCCAUAACCAUCAUAUUUUCCAUCAACCCAAUCCCCCUCGUAUCUCCCACUCAUGUAAUAAUAGUACACCCCGCUCCCGGAACACUUACCCUUAUGAAACUCGCCCUCGUAUACGUCUCCGUUGCUAUAAACCUGGACCCAACACCCCGAAUUCACUCUUUUCUCCGAAUUAGGCCUCGACCCAAUUGACCAAAACACAGGUAAAGGCGGUCUAGAUAUGUUAGAAGCGGAUUUGAGCUUGAUUGGGAAGGAACGCGCCAAAAACAAUCGAAUUGAAGGGAGGCGAGGGAGAGCGAGAUUUAGAGAGAAUAAUAAAGCAGCGGAGAAAGCGA